AGUGAACGCUGGCGGUAGGCCUAACACAUGCAAGUCGAACGGCAGCACAGUAAGAGCUUGCUCUUACGGGUGGCGAGUGGCGGACGGGUGAGGAAUACAUCGGAAUCUACUUUUUCGUGGGGGAUAACGUAGGGAAACUUACGCUAAUACCGCAUACGACCUACGGGUGAAAGCAGGGGAUCUUCGGACCUUGCGCGAUUGAAUGAGCCGAUGUCGGAUUAGCUAGUUGGCGGGGUAAAGGCCCACCAAGGCGACGAUCCGUAGCUGGUCGGAGAGGAUGAGAGGCAAGAAUGGAAAUGAGACAAGGUCCAGACGCCGACGGGAGGCAGCAGUAGGGAAGAUGCCGCAAUGGGCGAAAGGUUGAAGGAGCAAUGCCGAGUGAGUGAGGAAGGGCUUCGGAUCGUAAAACUCUGUUAGUAGGGAAGAAAAAAUGUGUAAGUAACUAUGCACGUCGUGAAGGUACAUAAUCAGAAAGCAACGGCUAAUUACGUG
RNAcentral lists this ribosomal RNA (492 nucleotides) under uncultured bacterium. RNAcentral's name for it is "partial 16S ribosomal RNA". It matches the Rfam family "Bacterial small subunit ribosomal RNA", at positions 29 to 507 of the family's 1533-position model. The record is from RNAcentral.